This 864-nucleotide ribosomal RNA is filed under the name uncultured Methanosaeta sp. Its description in RNAcentral is "bacterial SSU rRNA". It matches the Rfam family "Archaeal small subunit ribosomal RNA", at positions 1 to 872 of the family's 1478-position model. The record is from RNAcentral. Lineage: Archaea; Methanobacteriati; Methanobacteriota; Methanomicrobia; Methanotrichales; Methanotrichaceae.
UCCGGUUGAUCCUGCCAGAGGUUACUGCUAUCGAGGUUCGACUAAGCCAUGCGAGUCGAAUGUAGCAAUACAUGGCGUACUGCUCAGUAACACGUGGACAACCUGCCCUUAGGUCGGGUAUAAACCCGGGAAACUGGGUAUAAUCCCCUAUAAGUCUCGGCUGCUGGAAUGCACCGAGAUUAAAAGCUCCGGCGCCUAAGGAUGGGUCUGCGGCCUAUCAGGUAGUAGUGGGUGUAGCGUACCUACUAGCCUACGACGGGUACGGGUUGUGAGAGCAAGAGCCCGGAGAUGGAUUCUGAGACACGAAUCCAGGCCCUACGGGGUGCAGCAGGCGCGAAAACUUUACAAUGCUGGCAACAGCGAUAAGGGAACCUCGAGUGCCAGGUUACAAAUCUGGCUGUCGAGAUGCCUAAAAAGCAUUUCAUAGCAAGGGCCGGGCAAGACCGGUGCCAGCCGCCGCGGUAACACCGGCGGCUCGAGUGGUAACCGUUAUUAUUGGGUCUAAAGGGUCUGUAGCCGGCCGGAUAAGUCUCUUGAGAAAUCUGGCAGCUUAACUGUCAGGCUUUCAGGAGAUACUGUCUGGCUCGAGGCCGGGAGAGGUGAGAGGUACUUCAGGGGUAGGGGUGAAAUCUUGUAAUCCUUGAAGGACCACCAGUGGCGAAGGCGUCUCACCAGAACGGACCUGACGGCAAGGGACGAAAGCUAGGGGCACGAACCGGAUUAGAUACCUGGGUAGUCCUAGCCGUAAACGAUACUCGCUAGGUGUCGGCCACGGUGCGACCGUUGUCGGUGCCGUAGGGAAGCCGUGAAGCGAGCCACCUGGGAAGUACGGCCGCAAGGCUGAAACUUAAAGGAAUUGGCGGG